This 1348-nucleotide ribosomal RNA is filed under the name Vibrio sp. A-C. RNAcentral's name for it is "16S ribosomal RNA". It matches the Rfam family "Bacterial small subunit ribosomal RNA", at positions 90 to 1433 of the family's 1533-position model. The record is from RNAcentral. Lineage: Bacteria; Pseudomonadati; Pseudomonadota; Gammaproteobacteria; Vibrionales; Vibrionaceae.
GUCGAGCGGCGGACGGGUGAGUAAUGCCUAGGAAAUUGCCCUGAUGUGGGGGAUAACCAUUGGAAACGAUGGCUAAUACCGCAUGAUGCCUACGGGCCAAAGAGGGGGACCUUCGGGCCUCUCGCGUCAGGAUAUGCCUAGGUGGGAUUAGCUAGUUGGUGAGGUAAGGGCUCACCAAGGCGACGAUCCCUAGCUGGUCUGAGAGGAUGAUCAGCCACACUGGAACUGAGACACGGUCCAGACUCCUACGGGAGGCAGCAGUGGGGAAUAUUGCACAAUGGGCGCAAGCCUGAUGCAGCCAUGCCGCGUGUGUGAAGAAGGCCUUCGGGUUGUAAAGCACUUUCAGUCGUGAGGAAGGUGGUGUAGUUAAUAGCUGCAUUAUUUGACGUUAGCGACAGAAGAAGCACCGGCUAACUCCGUGCCAGCAGCCGCGGUAAUACGGAGGGUGCGAGCGUUAAUCGGAAUUACUGGGCGUAAAGCGCAUGCAGGUGGUUUGUUAAGUCAGAUGUGAAAGCCCGGGGCUCAACCUCGGAAUAGCAUUUGAAACUGGCAGACUAGAGUACUGUAGAGGGGGGUAGAAUUUCAGGUGUAGCGGUGAAAUGCGUAGAGAUCUGAAGGAAUACCGGUGGCGAAGGCGGCCCCCUGGACAGAUACUGACACUCAGAUGCGAAAGCGUGGGGAGCAAACAGGAUUAGAUACCCUGGUAGUCCACGCCGUAAACGAUGUCUACUUGGAGGUUGUGGCCUUGAGCCGUGGCUUUCGGAGCUAACGCGUUAAGUAGACCGCCUGGGGAGUACGGUCGCAAGAUUAAAACUCAAAUGAAUUGACGGGGGCCCGCACAAGCGGUGGAGCAUGUGGUUUAAUUCGAUGCAACGCGAAGAACCUUACCUACUCUUGACAUCCAGAGAACUUUCCAGAGAUGGAUUGGUGCCUUCGGGAACUCUGAGACAGGUGCUGCAUGGCUGUCGUCAGCUCGUGUUGUGAAAUGUUGGGUUAAGUCCCGCAACGAGCGCAACCCUUAUCCUUGUUUGCCAGCGAGUAAUGUCGGGAACUCCAGGGAGACUGCCGGUGAUAAACCGGAGGAAGGUGGGGACGACGUCAAGUCAUCAUGGCCCUUACGAGUAGGGCUACACACGUGCUACAAUGGCGCAUACAGAGGGCGGCCAACUUGCGAAAGUGAGCGAAUCCCAAAAAGUGCGUCGUAGUCCGGAUUGGAGUCUGCAACUCGACUCCAUGAAGUCGGAAUCGCUAGUAAUCGUGGAUCAGAAUGCCACGGUGAAUACGUUCCCGGGCCUUGUACACACCGCCCGUCACAACCAUGGGAGUGGGCUGCAAAAGAAGUAGGUAG